This 262-nucleotide ribosomal RNA is filed under the name uncultured bacterium. RNAcentral's name for it is "partial 16S ribosomal RNA". It matches the Rfam family "Bacterial small subunit ribosomal RNA", at positions 793 to 1055 of the family's 1533-position model. The record is from RNAcentral.
GUCCACGCCCUAAACGAUGUCAACUGGUUGUUGGGUCUUCACUGACUCAGUAACGAAGCUAACGCGUGAAGUUGACCGCCUGGGGAGUACGGCCGCAAGGUUGAAACUCAAAGGAAUUUACGGGGACCCGCACAAGCGGUGGAUGAUGUGGUUUAAUUCGAUGCAACGCGAAACCUUACCCACCUUUGACAUGUACGGAAGUCGCUAGAGAUAGCUUCGUGCUCGAAAGAGAGCCGUAACACAGGUGCUGCAUGGCUGUCGU